GUGCUCCCUCGCGCGCCCACCUGCCCGACCGGCCACCCGCCCAGGAGCCCCACUGGACCCCAGGGAAUAAUCCCCCCCAGCACUCAUAGAGGUAAGGAGGCUGGGGGGAUUAUAUAAAAAAAAAAGAAAAAAUCAUGUGUGAGUGUUAGUGUGAGUGUGUGUGAGUGUUAGAGUGAGUGUGAGUGUUAGAGUGAGUGUUAGUGUGUGUUAGUGUGUGUGAGUGUUAGUGUGUGUGAGUGUUAGAGUGAGUGUUAGUGUGUGUCUGCUAGUGAGUGUUAGUGUGUUAGUGUGUGAGUGUGUUACUGUGUGUGUCUUACUGAGUGUGUGUGUGUUAGUGAGUCUGUUUGAUGUCUGUUAGUGAGUGCGUGUUUGUCAAUGAGAGUGUAUGUUUUGUAAGUGAGUGUGUAUGUAUGUCUGUCGCUGACUGUAUCUCUGUCAGUAAAUGUGUGUGUCUGUUAGCUAGUGUGUAUGCGUCUGUAAG
Pelobates cultripes (western spadefoot toad) is the source of this 481-nucleotide non-coding RNA. Lineage: Eukaryota; Metazoa; Chordata; Amphibia; Anura; Pelobatidae. The record is from the annotation of a GenBank genome assembly.